Molecule: ribosomal RNA, 687 nt
Filed under: Klebsiella sp. enrichment culture
Lineage: Bacteria; Pseudomonadati; Pseudomonadota; Gammaproteobacteria; Enterobacterales; Enterobacteriaceae
Description: bacterial SSU rRNA
Rfam family: Bacterial small subunit ribosomal RNA
Source: RNAcentral
UUGAGGCGUGGCUUCCGGAGCUAACGCGUUAAGUCGACCGCCUGGGGAGUACGGCCGCAAGGUUAAAACUCAAAUGAAUUGACGGGGGCCCGCACAAGCGGUGGAGCAUGUGGUUUAAUUCGAUGCAACGCGAAGAACCUUACCUACUCUUGACAUCCAGAGAAGUUUGCAGAGAUGCGAACGUGCCUUCGGGAACUCUGAGACAGGUGCUGCAUGGCUGUCGUCAGCUCGUGUUGUGAAAUGUUGGGUUAAGUCCCGCAACGAGCGCAACCCUUAUCCUUUGUUGCCAGCGGUCCGGCCGGGAACUCAAAGGAGACUGCCAGUGAUAAACUGGAGGAAGGUGGGGAUGACGUCAAGUCAUCAUGGCCCUUACGAGUAGGGCUACACACGUGCUACAAUGGCAUAUACAAAGAGAAGCGACCUCGCGAGAGCAAGCGGACCUCAUAAAGUAUGUCGUAGUCCGGAUUGGAGUUUGCAACUCGACUCCAUGAAGUCGGAAUCGCUAGUAAUCGUGGAUCAGAAUGCCACGGUGAAUACGUUCCCGGGCCUUGUACACACCGCCCGUCACACCAUGGGAGUGGGUUGCAAAAGAAGUAGGUAGCUUAACCUUCGGGAGGGCGCUUACCACUUUGUGAUUCAUGACUGGGGUGAAGUCGUAACAAGGUAACCAAUCUCUAGAGGAUCCCC